AAAAGUUUUGAGAACUCAAGGCUUUAGUAAGAAUGUCUGCCGUCUAGACCUGCUGGACACAUGCUUUGUAACAAUGCUUCCAUCUUGGAUUUCGUCUCGUAUUAAGUGGCAAUUGAGCUAUAUAUGCUUGGUCCUUUCAUGAAAGACUGGGUUUGUGGCAAUGUACACAGCGGACUUAUUAUCACAGUAUAAGAAGGCGUCCACUGGGGAUAAGCUAUCUACAAGUCAUUAAAUAAAUACGGAGCCAUGCUAGUUCACAAAACAAAUUGGCUAUGGCUCCAUAUUUUGCUUCUGGGGAAGAUCUGGAAACGAGAUGUUGCUUCUUGGACUUCCCGGACAUCAGUGAUUCACCAACAAAGACACAAUACCCUGUCAUUGACCACCUGGUAUCAAGACACGCACCCCAAUCAGAGUCACAGUAACUAUGCAGCUGCACCUUCGAAUCUGUUAGAUAAAAUAACCCUUAGCCUGGAGCUCCUUUGACAUAUCUUAGGACCUUGUGUGUUGUGUAUAGAUGUGGUACUCGAAGACUUUCCAUAAACUGGCUUAAUAACUGGACUGAGUAUGAAAUGUCUAGCCUAGUUAUAGUCAAAUAUAGCAAUCACCCAAUCAAUCUCCUGUAGAGUCCAGGUUCAGGAAGAAUCUCUCCUUCAUCUUUAGUUAACUUCCUAUUCCAGUCCAAAGGAAUCCUAG
This 693-nucleotide long non-coding RNA is filed under the name Olea europaea subsp. europaea. Lineage: Eukaryota; Viridiplantae; Streptophyta; Magnoliopsida; Lamiales; Oleaceae. The record is from RNAcentral.